GGAUUGAACGCUGGCGGCAUGCCUUACACAUGCAAGUCGAACGGCAGCGCGGGGCAACCUGGCGGCGAGUGGCGAACGGGUGAGUAAUAUAUCGGAACGUACCCUGGAGUGGGGGAUAACGUAGCGAAAGUUACGCUAAUACCGCAUACGAUCUAAGGAUGAAAGUGGGGGAUUCGCAAGAACCUCAUGCUCCUGGAGCGGCCGAUAUCUGAUUAGCUAGUUGGUAGGGGUAAAGGCCUACCAAGGCAUCGAUCAGUAGCUGGUCUGAGAGGACGACCAGCCACACUGGAACUGAGACACGGUCCAGACUCCUACGGGAGCAGCAGUGGGAAUUUUGGACAAGUGGGCGCGAAGCCUAGACUCCAGCAAUGCCGCGUGAGUGAAGAGGCCGUUGGUUAGUAAGCUCUCGUUGUACGAGGAAGUAACGGUCGUCUACUAAUACAGAUGAUAAUGACGUACUAGAAGAAGUAAGACGACCG
Molecule: ribosomal RNA, 479 nt
Filed under: uncultured soil bacterium
Lineage: Bacteria
Description: bacterial SSU rRNA
Rfam family: Bacterial small subunit ribosomal RNA
Source: RNAcentral